AGUGAACGCUGGCGGUAGGCCUAACACAUGCAAGUCGAACGGCAGCACAGUAAGAGCUUGCUCUUACGGGUGGCGAGUGGCGGACGGGUGAGGAAUACAUCGGAAUCUACUUUUUCGUGGGGGAUAACGUAGGGAAACUUACGCUAAUACCGCAUACGACCUACGGGUGAAAGCAGGGGAUCUUCGGACCUUGCGCGAUUGAAUGAGCCGAUGUCGGAUUAGCUAGUUGGCGGGGUAAAGGCCCACCAAGGCGACGAUCCGUAGCUGGUCUGAGAGGAUGAUCAGCCACACUGGAACUGAGACACGGUACAGACUCCUACGGGAGGCAGAAGUGGGGAAUAUUGGAAAAUGGGCGCAAGCCUGAUCCAGCCAUACCGCGUGGGUGAAGAAGGCCUUCGGGUUGUAAAGCCCUUUUGUUGGGAAAGAAAAGCAGCAGGUUAAUACCCCGCUGUUCUGACGGUACCCAAAGAAUAAGCACCGGCUAACUUCGU
Molecule: ribosomal RNA, 491 nt
Filed under: uncultured bacterium
Lineage: Bacteria
Description: partial 16S ribosomal RNA
Rfam family: Bacterial small subunit ribosomal RNA
Source: RNAcentral